Cygnus olor (mute swan) is the source of this 3662-nucleotide long non-coding RNA. RefSeq lists it as uncharacterized. The record is from RefSeq and is a predicted model, not a curated record. Lineage: Eukaryota; Metazoa; Chordata; Aves; Anseriformes; Anatidae. The transcript has 2 exons.
GGCCCCGCCGCAUUUGCCCAGCACGCAGCGGCGGAGCUGUUUGCUGAGUCCCUUGAAGGAUUCCUUAUCAGAAAAGGGCACUUGUCACCCAGUGCCAGUCACAGGCUGCGUAAACGUUAACGGCUGGCUCAGGGAACCGGCCCUGGCAAACACAGCGGCUCGGGGGACCUUCCUCCCCUGGAAAAUGCCGGGGGGGCUUGCCCACCUCGUGUCCCUCGUAUCGCACAACGGCACGUCGCCAGCUGGAGGUGCCUGUGCUGUCCUGCAGCUGCCCGUGCUGGCGGCCCCCUGCCGCUGCUUCCUCAGCGUCCACCCGCGGAUCCCACCGAGACAGCCUGCUCUGUGUCACAGACCCCUGCUGCUGCUCAGGACGGGCGUUGGGGCCACCGCUCGGGUACAGGGGUGCGGCAGCUGGGCGGCAGGCAGGUGCCCAAGGAGAGCCUCUUAUUGCUGGGUACGGUGCCGCAGGAGGGGACGUGUCCCUCUCUGCCGCUUCUUCCCCCACCCACCCGAACGUGCCGCGGCGGGGCUGGAGGGCAGCGCGGCGCCUGGAGCAGCUGCGUCCCCACGUCCUCCCCGCGUCCCGGGGCGAGCACCUGGGGCUGGAUUUCCGCAGAGCCUGCGGCGCACGCCUGGGCCUCCCGGUGACUGACCGGCAGCAGGAGCGCGGCGCUCCUCCGGGGACGGCACGCCGCUGAGGCCAGGGGGCCCGGCACGCUCGGCCCGGCUGCGCUGGGGAUUUGCUGCCCUUUAUCUGGGGAGGGAAGAGCGUCUGAGUGCAACGUGCGCGGGGUCUGCAGGGAGCCCGCUCGCGCCGAUUUAAUGGCAAGCGUGCGGCGCCCUGCUGGAGCUGGCUUUGACGCUCAUGUUCAGAGCUCGCUAGGGCGUAAGUGUGUAACGUCACUGCCUAGGGAAAGUGCCUGCGCUCCCAGGAGCGUGCGUGUGCUCUGCUUCCAGCGCUGCUCGUGCAAACGCGACGGGGUUACAGCAGGACAGGGGGCUUCUGACCUGCAGGUUGUAACUGCCCGAGUGUAAGUGGCGUGCAAAGGUGCAUGGCGGGGUUUCUGUUCUCUCCCCAUCCCCCCGGUCUUUUUUUUUUCCUCCCCAUGAAUUUCACAAGAAUAUUUUCACUGCUGUCAAGGGCACAAGUUCAGCUUCUGAAUGCCCCUUUGUCUUACGCAGCACAGAGGCGUCACGCUCUCCCGCCGUGCCUUCUAGGAAAGGCACCAAAACGUUUCCCCGCGCCCCUGCCAGCGGCGGCGGUGCUCCAGGCGCUGUGCCGGGCCCCGCGGCAGGCGGCGAGGUGGGAGCUGGUGCGGCCGGGCAGUGUCUGCCUGCACGGAGGGUCCUCAGCCUCUGCUGCGGCGCAGGCUGGGAGGGGAGGGAGCAGAGGGCUGCGGGACCGGCCCCGUCUGCCCCCCUCUCGGUCCCCGCGGGGUCGGUGCCUGCAGGGUGCGUGGCUGGCGUCCCGCAGCGCCCCGUGGCUCCGGCUCCGUCCUGGGUGGGAGGGGAAGCAAAGGCAGAGAGGGCAGGGAAGCGAGCACUGAAAAAAAAGGGAGGAGAAGAGGACUGAAGGGGGUCGGGCUGCGCUGCAGGAGCUGGGACGAGGCUGUGGCCGGGGAGCUGUGAGCCGGGCUGGGGGGGAAGAGGGAGCGGUGCCGGGGGUCGGAGGAUGCCGGCGAGGGGGCGGCCGGGGCAGGGUCUCUGUCACCCCCAGCAGAACUGCAAGCGGGCAGAGGCGGCGGCAGCCGGACGUGUCGCAAGACUGCUGGGACAGAGACGCUCAGAGGUGACUCAAAGCUCACUUGACCUCGUUUCGUCAGGCUCGUUGGUUACAGGUACUCCUGAUUCCCAUCCUUUGCUGCUGAGUUGGGGCAGGGAGCGUUUCUUGCCGGACAGCUGCGUGCUGGGCGCAGGGAGCGGUGCCCGUGUGCCCGCUGCUCCUCUCCCCAGGUCUCACCCCGUACGAAGGCGGACGAGUUCUGCCUUGUGGCCAUCCUGUCCCACGGCUGCUGGGGUGACGCGCGGGCUGCCCAAACGAAGCUGGGGUCCGGCUGCCAGCACGUGUCCCCGCACGCACCGCGCUGCUGCUGGGGACGUCGGCUGGCUGCGGGCCGGGGCCCUGGGCAUCCCGCGGGCUGCAGGUACCGGGCUGCCCCCUCGGGGGCUGCAUCUCCUUGCCCAGCUCGUCCGUCAGAGCCAGAGGAACGGGCCUGCUCCCUUGGGCCCCGCUCGGCUGCUGUAGAAGCAUCGUCCUCCUCGUCCAGAGCUCCCCACAGCACUUGGUGCUGCCGGCUCGCGCAGGCUGUCCCGCAGGGAUCGGGGCUGCUCGCCCUCAGCACCUCCACAGACAAGGCCGAAAGCCAGGACCGAGCAGGAGCUGGGGCUCCUCUGCGAGGACAGGCACGAUCUCCUGCCAGCCUUUGACUCGGGCUCUGGAUGGGCACUUCGCUUUCCAGCCAAGUGGAAGCUGACCCCGCUGCCUUCCUUCCCCACAGCCCGCGCCUGCACACACCUCCGCAGCACAACGCUCCCAGCGCUGCUGCUGCUGCUCAGAAAAACAACAAAUAUUUUAGGCAUUCUGCAGCAGCAGCUGAAUUGUAUCAAACUACUUCGUGCAUCUGAGACUUAAAGCCCUGAGCGUACACUUUUGAAGGGGCGCGUUCAGGGAGGCGUUGAAGAGGGGCAGCAGAAUUGCACUCUGUGAAUCCUUUGUGAGCCUACGGUCAGCACCUCUGCGUACGGGAUUUCCUGCAUUUCUUCUCCUCCUCUUCCUCCUUUCUUUUAUUUUGUGUAGGGAUGUUGGUAUGAAAACAGCGCUUGUACUUCCUAAGCCUCCACGUGUUGCUUCGCUCCCCAGCCUCGCUAGAGUAAACGCAGCGCUGUGGAGCCUGCACGAGGUAGGAUCUGCUGGCUUUGGAUGCUGGGCAUUGCCAGCGCUGUGUAAUCUGACCCUGCGUGCGCCCUUUUACCUUCCUUAUCCUGGCUUUUCAAUUCCCAUUUCCACGUGGGAACCCCGUCCCUGCCGGCUGCAGAAACCUCGCGGAUGGGAUUCGGAGCUGGGAAAUGGCACGGCACUCUGUAGGGGGGCUCUGCCGGCAGGGACGUCGGGGUCGGAGCUCGUCAGGCGGAGGUCGGGGUAGUUUGUUGCGGGCUGUGAGUCCCUGGGGCUGGCUGUGGCGGGGACAUUGGGCUCACAGCUGUGCCCCGCCGUGCUGCAGGUGGCCGGGGAAGGGCUCCUGGGUGCAGGCGCACGUGUGGGGCUGGACGGGCUGGACGGGCUGCUCCCCGACAAGGGCAGGGAGGAGGAAGGCGCAGGUGCUGCCCCUCUGCUUCCCCAGCUGCUCCCUGGCGAUGCAGGACCUGGAGUGAUGCGAACAACUGUGCGAGCUUGUCCUCUGCUUGGGAGUGGAGCCUGUGUUUGUCUGAAAGUAAAGCCUGUUUUGAGGGUCUGGGCUUUCCUCAUCAGGGAGUUUGCACCUGGGUUAUGGAUUUGGGACCGGUUUCGCUCAAGACGUGGUGGUGGUGCAAGGACAUGGGCACCGCUAGCAAGAGGAUGCUCUCCUGUUGCCAACCCAGAACAAAGGCACCUGGAAACUUAAUUGUGGGUGUCGGAGCAUGCAGCGGGGACUGAAAGGGUUAAACAUGCUUUGCCGUGUGUU